Molecule: ribosomal RNA, 144 nt
Filed under: Herpotrichiellaceae sp.
Lineage: Eukaryota; Fungi; Ascomycota; Eurotiomycetes; Chaetothyriales; Herpotrichiellaceae
Description: partial large subunit ribosomal RNA
Source: RNAcentral
AGGCCAGCAUCAGUUCGGGCGGUUGGAUAAAGGCUCUGGGAAUGUAUCUACCUACGGGUAGACUUAUAGACCAGGGUGUCAUGCGGCCUCUCGGGACCGAGGAACGCGCUUCGGCUCGGAUGUUGGCGUAAUGGUUGUCAGCGA